This 460-nucleotide ribosomal RNA is filed under the name uncultured bacterium. RNAcentral describes it as "partial 16S ribosomal RNA". It matches the Rfam family "Bacterial small subunit ribosomal RNA", at positions 338 to 795 of the family's 1533-position model. The record is from RNAcentral.
CCUACGGGAGGCAGCAGUGAGGAAUAUUGGUCAAUGGCCGUAAGGCUGAACCAGCCAAGUCGCGUGAAGGAAGAAGGAUCUAUGGUUUGUAAACUUCUUUUAUAGGGGAAUAAAGGUAUCCACGUGUGGAUAGUUGCAUGUACCAUAUGAAUAAGCAUCGGCUAACGCCGUGCCAGCAGCCGCGGUAAUACGGAGGAUGCGAGCGUUAUCCGGAUUUAUUGGGUUUAAAGGGUGCGUAGGUUGUUUUUUAAGUCAGCGGUGAAAGUUUGUGGCUCAACCAUAAAAUUGCCGUUGAAACUGGCAGCCUUGAGUGUUUUUCAGGUAGGCGGACUGCGUGUUGUAGCGGUGACAUUCAUAGAUAUCACGCAGAACUCCGAUUGCGAAGGCAGCUUACUAAGGCAUACCUGACACUGACGCACGAAAGCGUGGGGCUCAAACAGGAUUAGAUACCCCAGUAGUC